RNAcentral lists this ribosomal RNA (251 nucleotides) under uncultured bacterium. RNAcentral's name for it is "partial 16S ribosomal RNA". It matches the Rfam family "Bacterial small subunit ribosomal RNA", at positions 524 to 776 of the family's 1533-position model. The record is from RNAcentral.
CACGUAGGGCGCGAGCGUUGUCCGGAAUUAUUGGGCGUAAAGAGCUCGUAGGCGGUGAAUCGGGUUGAAAGUGAAAGUCGCCAAAAAGUGGCGGAAUGCUCUCGAAACCAAUUCACUUGAGUGAGACAGAGGAGAGUGGAAUUCCCGGUGUAGCGGUGAAAUGCGCAGAUAUCGGGAAGAACACCUAUGGCGAAGGCAGCUCUCUGGGACGGUACUGACGCUGAGACGCGAAAGCGUGGGGAGCAAACAGG